Molecule: transfer RNA, 65 nt
Filed under: Orthomeria smaragdinum
Lineage: Eukaryota; Metazoa; Arthropoda; Insecta; Phasmatodea; Aschiphasmatidae
Description: tRNA-Ser
Source: RNAcentral
AGUUAAUAAGUUUAAAACAUAUAUUUUGAAAAUAUAAAUUAGAAUUUAAAAUAUUCUAUUAACUU